Long non-coding RNA from Acanthopagrus latus (yellowfin seabream), 2186 nucleotides. RefSeq lists it as uncharacterized. Lineage: Eukaryota; Metazoa; Chordata; Actinopteri; Spariformes; Sparidae. The transcript is spliced from 3 exons. The record is from RefSeq and is a predicted model, not a curated record.
CUCAUAAUAGGUCUUCAAAGUCUGCAUGGGCCUGGAUCCCAGUCCAGCACUAAAUGUGCUAAAUUAAGGUUCCGAGAGAAGUAGAGCAACCUUGACGACAUCUGCGGUAGACCAACUUAAUUAUGGUUUUAUAUUGGCCCUUCCAGUGCAGUGCUGCCGGUGCCUUGCUGAGGGCUGCCAGGAAGCGCUCUGUUCUUGCCGUUGGAAAAAGAGUUUGGAGGAAAACAGCGUGUAGGGAGGCUCAAGGGAGGAAGACGUAUUCAGAUCUUCUACUCGGGUGAAAGAAGCAAUACCACAGGAUAGAAAUCCACUGUUAGAAGUCAAAGUCUGUGACUUAAGAUAAAAAUUAUUGGCAUCAAAAUACACUUAAAGGUCUAGUGUGUAGGAUUGAUGGAGAUCCACCGGCAGAAAUAUAUAAUAUUUGUAAGUAUAUAAUGAUUUAUAUCUUUCACAAGCAUCUGUGUUUUAAAUGUGUUUUCCAUAGUGCAUAAGUAGCUGAAAAUAUAAUCAAAAUGUGCCCAAUGUGUCUACGUGGAAACAGGUCAUCUUCCACAGAGCCGACCAUGCUGCACAAAUAUGUUUCUACAAAAGCCCAGAAUGGACAAAAAAAAAACCCCAGACAAACAAUGGCUCCACAUAGGGCCUUUUUACCAGCAAACACGAUUUCUCCUAUACGUUUGGUGGGGCGAGAUGUAUUCAGUUGGUUGCGGUCUGAAACCUCACCACUAGAAGCCACUAAAUCCUGCACACUGGACCUUGAAAGUACCAAUUAAAGUACUCAUCAUGCAGAAUGCCAUCUUUCAGAAUAACAUGUACAUUCAGAUUGUAAUUGUAAAUGCAUUAAUGCCUCCAUCACGUUAAAGCAACAUUAUGUAGAAAUUGGCAAUUUGUGUAAUUUGGUUUCAAAAGUUAGAAUUUAAACGUAGUGCAGUUAAAAGUACAAUAUUUACCUCAUAAUCACAGUGGAGAGUAUAAAGUAGCAGAAUAUUGAACUACUUACAUAAAAUACACCUCAAAAUUGUUCUGAAGUGGAGUACUUGACUAAAUGUACCUACUUUACACCACUUGGGAGGCUGAGGCGGGUUUUAAAAAUCAGGUUUAUCGCUGCAGUUAUGUGAGUUUUAUUACAGUCUAUAUUAGGCUGAGGCUGUAGGUACACAUGCGUCUUGAUGCUUUUUAUCAAAUAAAACCAUUUCCUGGCAGAACUUUGAUGGCUGCACUACAUUUAACCGAGAAAAGAAAACAAGAUAUCUGCCAAAAAAAGCCAUUCCGUGUAAUUUAAUAACACAACUACAGCCUUGAGUUAGUAAAUCCAUGUUACAAAAAGGGCAUUCAUACUCAACUUUAAGAUGUUGUGAGUAACAAUCUCUUCAUUGUGGUUAAUUUGCACUGGUUCCUCAUGCAGUGGUGCGCAGCAGGCAGUCAAGAUAAGUGCUUUAUUAAAGUCCUGGUCCUGCUAACAGACUUACAUCUACGUAUGUAUUAUUCCUAAAGUUUAGUAUCAGUUUCUUCCCUCUUCCAGCCAAGUUUCUGUCCCUGUUUUGUAGCUGAUGUUCCCCUUUUACCAGGGGUAUCACUCACAUCCCUGCAGCCAUUAAUCAAAUAAACACUGUAUAUGCAAUAUCCUGCAUCAUAUUGAAACUCUGCAGUAGAAACACAAUGCAGCUCUCAAACUUGAAAAAUAAUCUAUUUUGCUUGAGGCAUACACUGCACUUUUGUUUAUUCAGUGUUAUGAUAAAGAGAUUAUAAAUGAAAGGCCGCAAGAAAAAAGUUUAGUUUCGUAAUGUGUAUGAGUCAGAUUCACAUGGGGCACCUUCGUCUUGCUUUUUUCCUCCACUUACAAAGUAGAUUUAUUUCAUUAAAAUUAUUUAAAGGGGUUUUUUUUCACCGAAAGGUCUAAAACAAUUUGGAAGAGAGACUCUGCGAUUGAACUAAACUCUAAACAAAUAGAAGGCAGCAUAUCGCCAGAGUAACCGCUAAUUGCUGCUAACUAUAGCUGCUGUUAGACUCAGUUAGCCGCGCAGCUAGCAGUCUGGACUGGGAGCUCGGAGAACUGUGAGCUGUAGAUGUGUAGACCACUCGCACAGGAGCUUCAGACCAGGACAGGCUGGGGCUAGCCGGUUAGCACUGCUGUGGAAAUGUAUCUUACUUGUGAAAUAUCGGAAAUAAACAUGUAAGAGAUACCA